Molecule: ribosomal RNA, 404 nt
Filed under: Laccaria bicolor
Lineage: Eukaryota; Fungi; Basidiomycota; Agaricomycetes; Agaricales; Hydnangiaceae
Description: LSU rRNA
Rfam family: Bacterial large subunit ribosomal RNA
Source: RNAcentral
UUUAUUUAUAUUCUUUGCGUAGCUUUUUAAAUUAAUUUAAAUUAAUAUUGACUUGCUAUGCUACCAUAAAAAAAUAACUUAUAAUGGUGACACAAAAUCGGAGGCCACGACUGUUUACUAAAAACACAACACAGUGCAAUCAUUAAUAUGAUAGUAUACUGUGUGAAAUUUGCCCGAUGCCAUUAAUAUAAGAGCGAUCAUGGUUUUCUGUGAUUAAUCGAAAAUCUGGUUAAUAGCGGUCUUAACUAUGAGGAUCCUAAGGUAGCAAAAUAAAUUGGCCUUUAAAUGAGGUCCGGUAUCAAUAAUGUAACGAUGGUCUCACUGUCUCUACAACUUGCUCAGUGAAAUUGAAUUACGCGUGCAGAUGCGCGUUGCCUUCAGGGGGACGGGAAGACCCUAUGCAG